GAACUGAAGAGUUUGAUCCUGGCUCAGAUUGAACGCUGGCGGCAUGCCUUACACAUGCAAGUCGAACGGCAGCGGGGGUAGCUUGCUACCUGCCGGCGAGUGGCGAACGGGUGAGUAAUACAUCGGAACGUGCCCUAUAGUGGGGGAUAACUAGUCGAAAGACUAGCUAAUACCGCAUACGACCUGAGGGUGAAAGUGGGGGACCGCAAGGCCU
RNAcentral lists this ribosomal RNA (214 nucleotides) under Ralstonia pseudosolanacearum. RNAcentral's name for it is "partial 16S ribosomal RNA". It matches the Rfam family "Bacterial small subunit ribosomal RNA", at positions 1 to 210 of the family's 1533-position model. The record is from RNAcentral. Lineage: Bacteria; Pseudomonadati; Pseudomonadota; Betaproteobacteria; Burkholderiales; Burkholderiaceae.